RNAcentral lists this ribosomal RNA (700 nucleotides) under uncultured bacterium. Its description in RNAcentral is "bacterial SSU rRNA". It matches the Rfam family "Bacterial small subunit ribosomal RNA", at positions 94 to 828 of the family's 1533-position model. The record is from RNAcentral.
AGUGGCGGACGGGUGAGUAACGCGUAAGAAUCUAACUUCAGGACGGGGACAACAGUUGGAAACGACUGCUAAUACCCGAUGUGCCGCAAGGUGAAACCUAAUUGGCCUGGAGAAGAGCUUGCGUCUGAUUAGCUAGUUGGUGGGGUAAAGGCCUACCAAGGCGACGAUCAGUAGCUGGUCUGAGAGGAUGAGCAGCCACACUGGGACUGAGACACGGCCCAGACUCCUACGGGAGGCAGCAGUGGGGAAUUUUCCGCAAUGGGCGAAAGCCUGACGGAGCAACGCCGCGUGAGGGAGGAAGGUCUUUGGAUUGUAAACCUCUUUUCUCAAGGAAGAAGUUCUGACGGUACUUGAGAAAUCAGCCUCGGCUAACUCCGUGCCAGCAGCCGCGGUAAUACGGGGGAGGCAAGCGUUAUCCGGAAUUAUUGGGCGUAAAGCGUCCGCAGGUGGUCAGCCAAGUCUGCCGUCAAAUCAGGUUGCUUAACGACCUAAAGGCGGUGGAAACUGGCAGACUAGAGAGCAGUAGGGGUAGCAGGAAUUCCCAGUGUAGCGGUGAAAUGCGUAGAGAUUGGGAAGAACAUCGGUGGCGAAAGCGUGCUACUGGGCUGUAUCUGACACUCAGGGACGAAAGCUAGGGGAGCGAAAGGGAUUAGAUACCCCUGUAGUCCUAGCCGUAAACGAUGGAUACUAGGCGUGGCUU